CAGCAGCCGCGGUAAUACGUAGGUGGCGAGCGUUGUCCGGAUUUAUUGGGCGUAAAGGGAGUGUAGGCGGUCUUUUAAGUCUGAUGUGAAAGCCCACGGCUCAACCGUGGAGGGUCAUUGGAAACUGGGAGACUUGAGUGCAGAAGAGGAGAGCGGAAUUCCAUGUGUAGCGGUGAAAUGCGUAGAUAUAUGGAGGAACACCAGUGGCGAAGGCGGCUCUCUGGUCUGUAACUGACGCUGAGGCUCGAAAGCGUGGGGAGCAAACAGGAUUAGAUACCCCAGUAGUCCCUGUCUCUUAUAC
Molecule: ribosomal RNA, 301 nt
Filed under: uncultured bacterium
Lineage: Bacteria
Description: partial 16S ribosomal RNA
Rfam family: Bacterial small subunit ribosomal RNA
Source: RNAcentral